This 880-nucleotide ribosomal RNA is filed under the name uncultured Capnodiales. RNAcentral describes it as "SSU rRNA". It matches the Rfam family "Eukaryotic small subunit ribosomal RNA", at positions 241 to 1125 of the family's 1831-position model. The record is from RNAcentral. Lineage: Eukaryota; Fungi; Ascomycota; Dothideomycetes; Capnodiales.
CCUUGGUGAUUCAUAAUAACUCAACGAAUCGCGUGGCCUUGCGCCGGCGAUGGUUCAUUCAAAUUUCUGCCCUAUCAACUUUCGAUGGUAGGAUAGUGGCCUACCAUGGUAUCAACGGGUAACGGGGAAUUAGGGUUCGAUUCCGGAGAGGGAGCCUGAGAAACGGCUACCACAUCCAAGGAAGGCAGCAGGCGCGCAAAUUACCCAAUCCCGACACGGGGAGGUAGUGACAAUAAAUACUGAUACAGGGCUCUUUUGGGUCUUGUAAUUGGAAUGAGUACAAUUUAAAUCCCUUAACGAGGAACAAUUGGAGGGCAAGUCUGGUGCCAGCAGCCGCGGUAAUUCCAGCUCCAAUAGCGUAUAUUAAAGUUGUUGCAGUUAAAAAGCUCGUAGUUGAACCUUGGGCCUGGCUGGCCGGUCCGCCUCACCGCGUGUACUGGUCCGGCCGGGCCUUUCCUUCUGGGGAUCCGCAUGCCCUUCACUGGGUGUGUCGGGGAACCAGGACUUUUACUUUGAAAAAAUUAGAGUGUUCAAAGCAGGCCUUUGCUCGAAUACAUUAGCAUGGAAUAAUAGAAUAGGACGUGCGUCUCUAUUUUGUUGGUUUCUAGGGACGCCGUAAUGAUUAAUAGGGACAGUCGGGGGCAUCAGUAUUCAAUUGUCAGAGGUGAAAUUCUUGGAUUUAUUGAAGACUAACUACUGCGAAAGCAUUUGCCAAGGAUGUUUUCAUUAAUCAGUGAACGAAAGUUAGGGGAUCGAAGACGAUCAGAUACCGUCGUAGUCUUAACCAUAAACUAUGCCGACUAGGGAUCGGGCGAUGUUAUUAUCUUGACUCGCUCGGCACCUUACGAGAAAUCAAAGUCUUUGGGUUCUGGGGGGAGUA